This 223-nucleotide ribosomal RNA is filed under the name uncultured Staphylococcus sp. RNAcentral describes it as "partial 16S ribosomal RNA". It matches the Rfam family "Bacterial small subunit ribosomal RNA", at positions 117 to 334 of the family's 1533-position model. Lineage: Bacteria; Bacillati; Bacillota; Bacilli; Caryophanales; Staphylococcaceae. The record is from RNAcentral.
GUGGAUAACCUACCUAUAAGACUGGGAUAACUUCGGGAAACCGGAGCUAAUACCGGAUAAUAUAUUGAACCGCAUGGUUCAAUAGUGAAAGACGGUUUUGCUGUCACUUAUAGAUGGAUCCGCGCCGCAUUAGCUAGUUGGUAAGGUAACGGCUUACCAAGGCAACGAUGCGUAGCCGACCUGAGAGGGUGAUCGGCCACACUGGAACUGAGACACGGUCCAG